This 394-nucleotide ribosomal RNA is filed under the name uncultured bacterium. RNAcentral describes it as "partial 16S ribosomal RNA". It matches the Rfam family "Bacterial small subunit ribosomal RNA", at positions 523 to 918 of the family's 1533-position model. The record is from RNAcentral.
AUACGUAGGGAGCGAGCGUUGUCCGGAAUUACUGGGCGUAAAGGGCGCGUAGGCGGCGCUUCAAGUCGUCUGUCAAAUGGGAGGGCUUAACCCUUUUUCGCAGACGAAACUGGAGAGCUUGAGAAGCAGAGAGGCAAACAGAAUUCCUGGUGUAGCGGUGAAAUGCGUAGAUAUCAGGAAGAAUACCAGUGGCGAAGGCGGUUUGCUGGCUGCAUACUGACGCUGAAGCGCGAAAGCCAGGGGAGCAAACGGGAUUAGAUACCCGGGUAGUCCUGGCAGUAAACGAUGUAUGCUGGGUGUGAGACUAGCGAUAGUUUCGUGCCGAAGUUAACGCGAUAAGCAUACCGCCUGGGGAGUACGGUCGCAAGAUUGAAACUCAAAUGAAUUGACGGGG